GAUGAACGCUGGCGGCGUGCCUAACACAUGCAAGUCGAACGGCAAGGCCCUGCGUUCGUGCUGUUCCCGGUUGCCGGUGGCGUGCGUGUCACGUAUGUAUCCUACCCUACUCUUUCGUGUAGCAUCACGUAACGGAGCCUACUAUCGUACCGCAGCCCCUCUACGAUGGAGAGCAUUGGAAAUUCUGACCUUGCGGGGUUGAAUUCGCGGCUGUCGGAGUAGCUAGUUGGCGGGGUACAGGCCCACCAAGGCGACGAUCCGUAGCUGGGCUGAGUGGAUGAUCAGCCACACUGGAACUGAGACACGGUCCAGACUCCUACGGGAGGCAGCAGUGGGGAAUAGUGGACAAUGGGCGCAAGCCUGAUCCAGCCAUGCCGCGUGGGUGAAGAAGGCCUUCGGGCUGUAAAGCCCUGUUGUUGGGAAAGAAAAGCAGCAGGUUAAUACCCCGCUGUUCUGACGGUACCCAAAGAAUAAGCACCGGCUAACUUCGUG
RNAcentral lists this ribosomal RNA (492 nucleotides) under uncultured bacterium. Its description in RNAcentral is "partial 16S ribosomal RNA". It matches the Rfam family "Bacterial small subunit ribosomal RNA", at positions 28 to 507 of the family's 1533-position model. The record is from RNAcentral.